UUACUGUGAUGAGUUAUGGGCUUGUAGA
RNAcentral lists this small RNA (28 nucleotides) under Bombyx mori (domestic silkworm). RNAcentral's name for it is "ovarian small RNA-36656". Lineage: Eukaryota; Metazoa; Arthropoda; Insecta; Lepidoptera; Bombycidae. The record is from RNAcentral.